Molecule: ribosomal RNA, 801 nt
Filed under: uncultured Glomeromycotina
Lineage: Eukaryota; Fungi; Glomeromycota
Description: SSU rRNA
Rfam family: Eukaryotic small subunit ribosomal RNA
Source: RNAcentral
AUCAACUUUCGAUGGUAGGAUAGAGGCCUACCAUGGUUUUAACGGGUAACGGGGAAUUAGGGUUCGAUUCCGGAGAGGGAGCCUGAGAAACGGCUACCACAUCCAAGGAAGGCAGCGGGCGCGCAAAUUACCCAAUCCCGACACGGGGAGGUAGUGACAAUAAAUAACAAUAUGGGGCUCUUACGAGUCUCGUAAUUGGAAUGAGUACAAUUUAAAUCUCUUAACGAGGAACAAUUGGAGGGCAAGUCUGGUGCCAGCAGCCGCGGUAAUUCCAGCUCCAAUAGCGUAUAUUAAAGUUGUUGCAGUUAAAAAGCUCGUAGUUGAAUUUCGGGGUCUAUCCGUUGGUCGGGCUUUUGGGUCCGUACUGGCGUUAUGGAUUCCUACCUUCUGAAUAACCGGUAUGCCAUUAAUUUGGUGUGCUGGGGAAGCAGGACUGUUACCUUGAAAAAAUUAGAGUGCUUAAAGCAGGCUAUCGCCUGAAUACAUUAGCAUGGAAUAAUGAAAUAGGACGGCAUGGUUCUAUUUUGUUGGUUUCUAGGAUCACCGUAAUGAUUAAUAGGGAUAGUUGGGGGCAUUAGUAUUCAAUUGUCAGAGGUGAAAUUCUUGGAUUUAUUGAAGACUAACUUCUGCGAAAGCAUUUGCCAAGGAUGUUUUCAUUAAUCAAGAACGAAAGUUAGGGGAUCGAAGACGAUCAGAUACCGUCGUAGUCUUAACCAUAAACUAUGCCGACUAGGGAUCGGACGAUGUUAAUUUUAUAAUGGCUCGUUCGGCGCCUUACGGGAAACCAAAGUGUUUGGGUUC